GCAAACUUGGUCAUUUAGAGGAAGUAAAAGUUGUAACAAGGUUUCCGUAGGUGAACCUGCGGAAGGAUCAUUAACAAAUCCAAUGCUUGUGGGAUGGCUUGUAAAAGGGUCAUCUUGCAAAUAUUAAUCCGCUGGCCUCGCAAGGGGCUAGUUGAUAACAUAAAUGUGUGUAGUGUUGACAGUGUGUGAUAUUUAAUUAAUUAUUGACAACUUUUAACAAUGGAUCUCUAGGCUCUUGCAUCGAUGAAGAACGCAGC
Molecule: unclassified non-coding RNA, 257 nt
Filed under: uncultured fungus
Lineage: Eukaryota; Fungi
Description: partial contains small subunit ribosomal RNA, internal transcribed spacer 1, and 5.8S ribosomal RNA
Rfam family: Eukaryotic small subunit ribosomal RNA (bases 1-73)
Source: RNAcentral